CUCCAACACCUCUCUCUCCCACAUUUCUUGCUUUGCUCCUCUGGUGUGUUGGGCACGGCUGAGCUCGAGACAACAGCGCAUUGUGGACCAAAGCUUGCUUCUCCAACAUGCUAGCUUGGGCUCUUCACAUCCUGGGUCAUGCAGAGUUCAGAUGGUGAGAUCAGACACUUGGACAGAAAGAAAUGCACACCUGGACACCGCACACCUGAAUACUGAACACAGAGCAGAUGAACCUCCUGUAGAGCUUUUUGUCAAGGAAUCAAGCUUUUUCGGCUCCUGGAACAGAGCACAACAGUGGGCAGCCGCUUUCUCGCUGGCCUGGGUUGCUUGCAGUGUGUUUUCCCAUUCAUUUUCUCCACAGGAACAUGAAGGUUCUUCAACACGCCAGGUCUGAGAUGAAUCACAGCAUUA
Molecule: long non-coding RNA, 411 nt
Filed under: Sinocyclocheilus grahami
Lineage: Eukaryota; Metazoa; Chordata; Actinopteri; Cypriniformes; Cyprinidae
Description: lncRNA (ENSSGRG00000020736.1)
Source: RNAcentral